This 763-nucleotide non-coding RNA is filed under the name Contacyphon variabilis. Lineage: Eukaryota; Metazoa; Arthropoda; Insecta; Coleoptera; Scirtidae. The record is from RNAcentral.
UAAAAAUUUAAUUUAUUUUUUUUUUACAUGUAAAUUUUAUUGUGAAUUAAUAAUUAUUUAAAUAAUGAUUAUUUUAUAUUUAUUCGCAGUAUUUAAUUUUAUAAAUAAAGGUAACUUUGAUAUAGAAAUAAAUUUUAUUAUAAACAAAUUUUGUGCCAGCAGUUGCGGUUAUACAAAAUAUGAAAUUAAAUUUUAUUAGCAUAUAAUUUAUUGUUUUAAUUAAAUUAAAAAUAUAAUUUUUUAGGUGAAAUUUUUAAAUUAUAAUUUGGUUUAUAUAAAAUAUUUGAAGUUAUUAAAUUUAUUUAUAGACUAGGAUUAGAUACCCUAUUAUUUUAAAUGUAAAUUUUAAAUGCUAAAUUAGUAUUAGUUAAGUUCUUCAAAUUUAAAAGUUUUGGCGGUAUUCUAAUCUUUUCAGAGGAACCUGUUCUGUAAUUGAUAAUCCACGAUAAGUUUAACUUUUUUUAGAAAUUUGUAUAUCGUUGUUAUAAAAAAUUUUUUUAGAAUUUAAAUUUUUGAUAUUUAUUAUUAUUAUUUAAAUCAGAUCAAGACAUAGUUUAUAAGAAAGUAGAAAUGGGUUACAAUAAAUUUAUUUAUAUGGAUAAAAAUUAUUAAAAUAUUUUUUGAAAGUGGAUUUGAAAGUAAUUUUAUUUAUUAAAUAUUAUGAUUAAAGUUUUGGAAUAUGCACAUAUCGCCCGUCGCUCUUUCUUUAAAGAAAGAUAAGUCGUAACAUAGUAGAUGUACUGGAAAGUGUAUCUAGAAAGAC